This 460-nucleotide ribosomal RNA is filed under the name uncultured bacterium. Its description in RNAcentral is "partial 16S ribosomal RNA". It matches the Rfam family "Bacterial small subunit ribosomal RNA", at positions 338 to 795 of the family's 1533-position model. The record is from RNAcentral.
CCUACGUGAGGCAGCAGUGAGGAAUAUUGGUCAAUGGGCGCGAGCCUGAACCAGCCAAGUAGCGUGAAGGAUGACUGCCCUACGGGUUGUAAACUUCUUUUAUAAAGGAAUAAAGUGAGGCACGUGUGCCUUUUUGUAUGUACUUUAUGAAUAAGGAUCGGCUAACUCCGUGCCAGCAGCCGCGGUAAUACGGAGGAUCCGAGCGUUAUCCGGAUUUAUUGGGUUUAAAGGGAGCGUAGAUGGGUUGUUAAGUCAGUUGAGAAAGUUUGCGGCUCAACCGUAAAAUUGCAAUUGAUACUGGCAGUCUUGAGUACAGUUGAGGUAGGCGGAAUUCGUGGUGUAGCGGUGAAAUGCUUAGAUAUCACGAAGAACUCCGAUUGCGAAGGCAGCUUACUAAACUGCCACUGACAUUGAUGCUCGAAAGUGUGGGUAUCAAACAGGAUUAGAUACCCCAGUAGUC